GCAUCACCAGAAGGUGAAGGCUCUGGAGGCUGAGCUACAGGAGUACUCUCUGAAACAGCAGAUAGCAGAGCUGCAGAGCCAGCUGGAACUGAUGGAGGAGGAGAAGAGAGAGACAGAGGGAUGUCUGCAGGAAGUAGAGAAGAAGAACCGUGACCUAGAGAAAAGAGUGCAAGAGCUGCUGCAGGUCCAGAAGAGCACUGAGCC
Oncorhynchus keta (chum salmon) is the source of this 204-nucleotide long non-coding RNA. RefSeq lists it as uncharacterized. NCBI's taxonomy places the organism in Eukaryota, Metazoa, Chordata, Actinopteri, Salmoniformes, Salmonidae. The transcript has 3 exons. The record is from RefSeq and is a predicted model, not a curated record.